This 477-nucleotide long non-coding RNA is filed under the name Anser brachyrhynchus (Pink-footed goose). RNAcentral's name for it is "lncRNA (ENSABRG00000018176.1)". Lineage: Eukaryota; Metazoa; Chordata; Aves; Anseriformes; Anatidae. The record is from RNAcentral.
AUUUAGUGAUAGCUGGCUUCUGAGUGAUAUUUACCUAAGCUCUCCUUUUUUAUUGGUAUUUUCCAGACUGCAAACAUAACAGAAAGUUCUGUCCAUGUGACUCCAAGAUAUUGCAGGUGACUGUCAGCUUGAUGCAGAAAUUCACUUUGUCUCACUGCAUCACAGUUUAUGAAGUACAAUGCAAAUUCUUUGGUCUUUAGGGCAUGUCAUUUCCAUGUUCAGUUUUUGAAAUUAAUUUACACCAUUGCAAGACAAAGAAAGUGGAAAUUUUCCUGCUGUCAUACCCACCUCUGUUACCAGCCUUCCCUUUCGUUUCAGCAGUGUCUAGCAGGGAGCCCUUAUCUGCAUAUGAUGUUCACAAAGGGCCUGCUGGAACAUCCAAGUCCAGUCUGCACUUGUGAAGCACCUGCUCUGCAGGUAAACCUACUUGAUGGAAGACUUGCUGGCAGGUUCGUAUUACUUAUCCCUCAUUAUUGA